RNAcentral lists this long non-coding RNA (306 nucleotides) under Salmo salar (Atlantic salmon). Its description in RNAcentral is "lncRNA (ENSSSAG00000100056.1)". The record is from RNAcentral. Lineage: Eukaryota; Metazoa; Chordata; Actinopteri; Salmoniformes; Salmonidae.
GGGGUAUUGAGUUAUUGUAAGGGGUAUUGAGUUAGGUAGGGGGUAUAGGAGUUAUUGUAAGGGGUAUUGAGUUAUUGUAAGGGGUAUUGAGUUAGGUAGGGGGUAUAGGAGUUAUUGUAAGGGGGUAUAAGAGUUAUUGUAAGGGGUAUUGAGUUAGGUAGGGGGUAUAGGAGUUAUUGUAAGGGGGUAUAAGAGUUAUUGUAAGGGGGUAUUGAGUUAGUUAGGGGGUAUAGGAGUUAUUGUAAGGGGUAUUGAGUUAGGUAGGGGGUAUAGGAGUUAUUGUAAGGGGGUAUUGAGUUAUUGUAA